CAUAAUCUCUGAGGAGAAAAGCAGGGGAUCGUAAGACCUUGCACUUUUGGAGCGGCCGAUGUCUGAUUAGCUAGUUGGUGGGGUAAUGGCCUACCAAGGCGACGAUCAGUAGUUGGUCUGAGAGGACGACCAGCCACACUGGGACUGAGACACGGCCCAGACUCCUACGGGAGGCAGCAGUGGGGAAUUUUGGACAAUGGGCGCAAGCCUGAUCCAGCCAUGCCGCGUGAGUGAAGAAGGCCUUCGGGUUGUAAAGCUCUUUCAGCCGGGAAGAAAAGGUUGCGACUAAUAAUCGUAAUUCAU
RNAcentral lists this ribosomal RNA (303 nucleotides) under uncultured beta proteobacterium. Its description in RNAcentral is "bacterial SSU rRNA". It matches the Rfam family "Bacterial small subunit ribosomal RNA", at positions 172 to 477 of the family's 1533-position model. The record is from RNAcentral. Lineage: Bacteria; Pseudomonadati; Pseudomonadota; Betaproteobacteria.